This 518-nucleotide ribosomal RNA is filed under the name uncultured Staphylococcus sp. RNAcentral's name for it is "partial 16S ribosomal RNA". Lineage: Bacteria; Bacillati; Bacillota; Bacilli; Caryophanales; Staphylococcaceae. The record is from RNAcentral.
CACGUAGUUAGCCGUGGCUUUCUGAUUAGGUACCGUCAAGAUGUGCACAGUUACUUACACAUUUGUUCUUCCCUAAUAACAGAGUUUUACGAGCCGAAACCCUUCAUCACUCACGCGGCGUUGCUCCGUCAGGCUUUCGCCCAUUGCGGAAGAUUCCCUACUGCUGCCUCCCGUAGGAGUCUGGGACCGUGUCUCAGUUCCAGUGUGGCCGAUCACCCUCUCAGGUCGGCUACGUAUCGUCGCCUUGGUAAGCCGUUACCUUACCAACUAGCUAAUACGGCGCGGGUCCAUCUAUAAGUGAUAGCAAAACCAUCUUUCACUUUAGAACCAUGCGGUUCUAAAUGUUAUCCGGUAUUAGCUCCGGUUUCCCGAAGUUAUCCCAGUCUUAUAGGUAGGUUACCCACGUGUUACUCACCCGUCCGCCGCUAACUUCAAAGGAGCAAGCUCCUUAUCUGUUCGCUCGACUUGCAUGUAUUAGGCACGCCGCCAGCGUUCAUCCUGAGCCAGGAUCAAACUCU